Molecule: long non-coding RNA, 4134 nt
Organism: Manis javanica (Malayan pangolin)
Lineage: Eukaryota; Metazoa; Chordata; Mammalia; Pholidota; Manidae
Source: RefSeq, a predicted model, not a curated record
GACUUUGGAGCCUCAGUGUUGGGAUUGCUCUGAAAAUUAAAGACAGCCUCCCCGCCACUCACCCUCCCAAAAAAAGACACCCCCGCCCGGAGAGUUAAUUCAGGCCAGAGUUUAUAAACCCUGGGUGGUUUUCCCAAUUAGGGGGCUUAAAAUGAAUAAACAAGGAAAACAGCGUCACUCUAAGCAGGCAGCAACCUUAGAAUUUUUUUUUUCUUCUGUGGUUUGCCGACUGCUCGGCACCUAAGAGGACACACACUGCAAACGGCAAAGGAGAAACGUGGUCCUGGGGAGAACCACCAGCCUGGAAGCUCCCCCGCAGCUCGCCGGAGCGCAGUUCCUUCCCCCGCCUGGCGGGAGAUGAAUCAGCGGCUGAGUCCGAGUGCGGGACAGAUGUGCGGCCGGGAGGGGCGCCCGUUGGAGCGCCGCUCGGUGCCUGCGUUUGAAGGCACACUUAGUUCCAUUUGGGGUUUUAUCUUCUGAAGCUGCCUCAAGGCCAAGAAAAGAAACAGUUGUAUAAAUGACAUGUCCUGAGCCUGUUGCUUGCUGACUGCAUCUGCUCUGCAGCCGCCACUCUGAGACUCCCCAGUGACCUUGUUGGAAACUGCUCUUUCCUGGACGCCAGUGUCUUUCCCUUGGUUUAUUCCUUUGUCUUGCUGAGGCAUAUUGCCAGGUAACUUCCUAAGAAAGGAUACGUGGGAAGUGAAAUUUCUGCAUCCUUGCAUUUUGGGAUCUGCAGGACAUCUGACUUCCUCUCAGGUUCCAUUGAAAAAAUGGAAAAGAAGCCCCAAAAGAUUAUUAAAUGGCACGAGUGAUAAGAAGCAAAGAAAGACCUAGGCUGCAAAGUUUGAAGUUAUGAUGGAAGAUAGUAGAAGAGAUUACAGGGAAAAGAAUGGGGGGGGUAAUACCGCAGCCCAAGUAUCAAAUGUAAGAUAUUUUUCCUGAGGAAGCAUCUAAGCUCACAGUCAACAAAUCCAACAUACAUCACUUGCGGGUAGAGAGUCACAUCAUGCCAGUUCCUGCUCCAAGCUUCACCUUUGAGAGGACUGGGAGCUUCCACUUCCUUCCUCUUGUAGCUCCUGGAACCCAGCUAGCUACCUGUCAGGACCCAGUGGCCACCCAUGACAGGCAUAAGCCACAUGCAAAGGCCGAGUGAAGGUGCUCCAGUCAGCAGUACACUAUGAUUUACAAAUAUUGAUAGCUGAAAAGGGAAGAGGAUGUGAAUGGUAGAGUAUGUAAAGCCCUCAUCUUUAAAAGAAGGAUCAAGACACAGCAAUAUAAUUUAAAGUGUUAACUGCAACCACCAGAAAAACAAAACACAACUUUUGAAGUUAUUUCAGCCAAGUGGGACUAAGGGUUGGAAUAAUUCAGAAGACAACUUACGUUUUUUAUUUUAGACUCUUUUUUAGUUUUUUUUGUCAUGUAAACUAUUUCCUUACUUUUUAAAACUUAGUUAAAAUGUUAUAUUUAAUGCAUAAAAAAAUAAAAGAACUAUAAGAAAAUAUCACUUUCUUCUGGGUACUGAAAAUGUAGGGUCUUCCUUUUCUUUUUUUACUUUAUCAAUUUCUCUCUCUCUAUAUGUAUAUAUAUAAAGAUUCUGAUAGGUGAAAUUAUAAAACCCAUCCACAUGCACAAGAGUCACACUGAAGACAAAAGAUCUCAGAAUAUAAGUAAAAGAAUGAACAAAAGUAUAGCAGGCCAGUUCAAUUUAAAAAAAGCAAUAGUAAGAAGUUAAGGCAAAAAGAAGUAAACAGGUCAGAGGUUCACUUAGUAAUCAUUAUAGAUAUUUAUACACAAUACAUAAAUGUCAUGAAACUUUAUACACCAAAAAAAUCAAACUAUAUGAAGCACAGAUUCAAGAAUUAGAGCAGAAACAACAAAAUUGUAAAAACUGAAAAAUUAGUAUACUUCUUAAGUAGUACUAAGAAAAAAGAGGAUAAAGUGAUGUACUUUAAAAGGUUAAAUCUGUAUGUGUUAAAAAUUAUGUAUGAAAAAAUGGAAGGAUCCUUUCUUUGCACUUAGUGAGUUUGGAGACAGGAAGGGAGAUGAUUAGCUUUGAUUUUUGCAUCUUUAUUGUACUGUUAUACUUAAUAUAGCAAGGAAGCAUUACUUUUGUAAUAUGAGAAAUAUCAAAUAGAGAAAAUUUAUACCAGUUUAUAAACCUGGAUAAAUUUUGAAAUCUAUACCCUGAACACAUCUUCUUUGCAAAUGCUAAUAAAUAAUGACUGCAAUUUACUGUAAUUAUUCCACCAUAAACACCUCAAUAAUAUCCCACCAAGAAGAGAAUAUAACCUACUUUUCUCUGACAGCAAUGUAAUAAAAAUGCAAUAAAAGAGAAAAUCAGCAAUGAAAGUGAAGAGGCAAAACAAACGUCAACAACUUGGAAAUUCUGUGACUAGUAGAAAAAAAUAAAAUAAUAAUAACAGAUCAGAGCACACGAAACAAAGUUAAGGUUAUUCUAAGAGAAAAUUCAGGAGCUCCAAUGCCUUCAUUUCUUAUUGAGGAAAAUAAUUAUUCAAUCAGCAAAUAACUAAAUUUUGUUAAAGAAUGACAACAAUAUUCUAGAGAAAGUAGAAAGCAUCGCAACAAAACAAAUUAGUGAAUUAGAAGUCUUGCUAGAUAACUCUAACCAGUUCUUGAAACACAGUAACUAAAAUAAAACCUAUCCUAUAAAAUGGAACCAUUGUUAGCUAGGCUAGUCAUGGGGAAAACUGGAAAAAGCAUGGACAUAGAAGAACCAAGGUAGGAGGGAAACCCAGUUGGGUCCCACCAUUCCUCCCAAUUCAUCUGUGACUCAUGGUAGGGCUAAUUUCUUCCGGUGUUUCCUUUGUGAAAGUUAUAACCCAAGAGACUCUGGAAUUAACCCUGGCAGGUGAAAAUGCUGAGAAAUGCACAGAGACCAAACAAUCAUAUUAAUAUGAUGUCUGCAGAGCAGGAUGUUUCUAUGGUGCAGAUGAAGAGUAAGAGACACACAACAGUAUAAACUAGUGAGCGCUGACUUCAAGCAAUAGGUUUGUCAUGGAGAAAUAAAUCCUCAUCUGAUUGGCUGUCAACCAAUCAAACACCCAUGUACCACUCGAAACAGGAGAUGAAGCUACAAUUGCUGUGAUCAGCAAGAGACAAGAAGUGUCUAAUCAAAAUCAAACACUCUGUGACAUCCUUAUUCCAGAAUAUGAUGUCAGUAAUAUUCUCAUGCUGGGAAGUAUGACUUUAUUCAGUCACAUCUUGGCAGGAUUUUCUGUGCAUUGAUUCUUCCCUCUUGUAUUUCUUUACAGCUGAUAAAUCAUCUAGUAUAAUGCAUAAGCAGAGUGCUUGCUGUUCACUUCUUUUAUUUUUAUUUUUAUUUUAUUAAUUUCAAUGGCCACGAUGGUUAAGAUCAACAAAAAAAAAUGAAUCCAUUCUUCCAUGAGCGACAUGCUCAUUCAACUUUUACCUUUAUAAUUUCAUUAAGAUUAAUAACAAAAUUUAUAUGCCUUUCCUCAUGGGAUGAAAUAAAUGUUUUUCUUGUAUCAUUGUGAAACUGAAGUUCAAUUCAUAAGUUGUGUGUAUGUGUAUAGGUCUGUCUAUGAGGGGGAAAAAAGCAAUUGAAGGAAGUUGAUUCUAGAAUCUGGAUAGUUUUUCCUCUAUACAAUGUGUCUUCAUGUUUAAAUAUGUUUCUAGUUAAAAUUCCAACUACAGCAUGUUGGUUACUUAGAAUUUAAAAUAUUGUUACUAGUAUUUUGUGUUUAAGUAUUGUGCUCAGAUAAUCUGCUCUAUAUAAUUUCCACUUUUUAGUUGCCUAAUAAUAAAUUCCAUUGACAUUGGGAAAAAAAAUAUUAUCUGUGUGAAAAGUUAACAUCUGAUGUGUAGCUAUUAAGGUAACUUGAUUAAUUUUGUCAUUGUGGCCUCCAUAACCUACCUUGUUUAUAUCCUGUGUGAUUUGUCAAAUACCAAGAAAGGUGUUUUAAAAUACCUAUACCUAGCAAUAUUAUAUCUGUUAAUUUCUUUUGUGAGUGUUAUAUUUUGACACAGUCUUAUUCAUGGUUAACAGGAACAUGAAGUGUAACCUUUACUAAUGUAUUUGACAGUAGUUUUCUUUCAGUAAACUGGGUUCAUGGCUGGAGGGAGGGCAAAAUUAAACUUUUACUUUUACUUUUA